RNAcentral lists this ribosomal RNA (253 nucleotides) under uncultured prokaryote. RNAcentral describes it as "partial 16S ribosomal RNA". It matches the Rfam family "Bacterial small subunit ribosomal RNA", at positions 524 to 776 of the family's 1533-position model. The record is from RNAcentral.
AACGGAGGAGGCUAGCGUUAUCCGGAUUUAUUGGGCGUAAAGCGCGCGUAGGCGGCCUCGAAAGUUGGGGGUGAAAUCUCUUGGCUUAACCAGGAGCGGUCCUUCAAUACUUCGGGGCUAGAGGUCAGCAGAGGAAGGUGGAAUUCCCGGUGUAGCGGUGAAAUGCGUAGAUAUCGGGAGGAACGCCAUUGGCUAAAGCGACCUUCUGGGCUGACCCUGACGCUGUGGCGCGAAAGCGUGGGUAGCAAACCGG